This 618-nucleotide ribosomal RNA is filed under the name uncultured bacterium. RNAcentral describes it as "bacterial SSU rRNA". It matches the Rfam family "Bacterial small subunit ribosomal RNA", at positions 271 to 885 of the family's 1533-position model. The record is from RNAcentral.
AGGCGACGACGGGUAGCCGGCCUGAGAGGGUGUCCGGCCACACUGGGACUGAGAUACGGCCCAGACUCCUACGGGAGGCAGCAGUGGGGAAUAUUGCACAAUGGGCGCAAGCCUGAUGCAGCGACGCCGCGUGGGGGAUGACGGCCUUCGGGUUGUAAACCUCUUUCACCAUCGGCGAAGCCGGGAGCUUUUGUUUCUGGUGACGGUAGGUGGAGAAGAAGCACCGGCCAACUACGUGCCAGCAGCCGCGGUAAUACGUAGGGUGCGAGCGUUGUCCGGAAUUACUGGGCGUAAAGAGCUCGUAGGUGGUUUGUCGCGUUGUUCGUGAAAUCUCACGGCUUAACUGUGAGCGUGCGGGCGAUACGGGCAGACUGGAGUACUGCAGGGGAGACUGGAAUUCCUGGUGUAGCGGUGGAAUGCGCAGAUAUCAGGAGGAACACCGGUGGCGAAGGCGGGUCUCUGGGCAGUAACUGACGCUGAGGAGCGAAAGCGUGGGGAGCGAACAGGAUUAGAUACCCUGGUAGUCCACGCCGUAAACGGUGGGUACUAGGUGUGGGUUUCCUUCCUUGGGAUCCGUGCCGUAGCUAACGCAUUAAGUACCCCGCCUGGGGAGUACGG